GACGAACGCUGGCGGCGUGCUUAACACAUGCAAGUCGAACGGAAAGGCCCUGCUUUUGUGGGGUGCUCGAGUGGCGAACGGGUGAGUAACACGUGAGUAACCUGCCCUUGACUUUGGGAUAACUUCAGGAAACUGGGGCUAAUACCGGAUAGGAGCUCCUGCUGCAUGGUGGGGGUUGGAAAGUUUCGGCGGUUGGGGAUGGACUCGCGGCUUAUCAGCUUGUUGGGGGGGUAGUGGCUUACCAAGGCUUGGACGGGUAGCCGGCCUGGGAGGGUGACCGGCCACAUUAGGACUGAGAUACGGCCCAGACUCCUACGGGAGGCAGGAGUGGGGAAUAUUACACAGUGGGCGGAAGCCUGAUGCAGCAACGCCGCGUGCGGGAUGACGGCCUUCGGGUUGUAAACCGAUUUCGCCUGUGACGAGGCGUGAGUGACGGUAAUGGGUAAAGAAGCACCGGCUAACUACGUG
RNAcentral lists this ribosomal RNA (468 nucleotides) under uncultured bacterium. Its description in RNAcentral is "partial 16S ribosomal RNA". It matches the Rfam family "Bacterial small subunit ribosomal RNA", at positions 28 to 507 of the family's 1533-position model. The record is from RNAcentral.